GUGGUACCACUCCUUCCCAUCCCGAACAGGACAGUGAAACGCCUUUGCGCCGAUGAUAGUGGACGGACGUCUGUGAAAGUAGGUCAUCGUCAGGC
RNAcentral lists this ribosomal RNA (95 nucleotides) under Achromobacter xylosoxidans. The record is from RNAcentral. Lineage: Bacteria; Pseudomonadati; Pseudomonadota; Betaproteobacteria; Burkholderiales; Alcaligenaceae.